GACGAACGCUGGCGGCGUGCUUAACACAUGCAAGUCGAACGGAAAGGCCCUGCUUGCAGGGUACUCGAGUGGCCAACGGGUGAGUAACACGUGGGUGAUCUGCCCUGCACUUCGGGAUAAGCCUGGGAAACUGGGUCUAAUACCGGAUAGGAGCCAUUUUUAGUGUGAUGGUUGGAAAGUUUUUUCGGUGUAGGAUGAGCUCGCGGCCUAUCAGCUUGUUGGUGGGGUAAUGGCCUACCAAGGCGGCGACGGGUAGCCGGCCUGAGAGGGUGGACGGCCACAUUGGGACCGAGAUACGGCCCAGAGUGCGACGGGAGGAAGAAGUGGGGAAUAUUGAACAAUGGGAGCAAGCCUGAUGCAGCGACGCCGCGUGGGGGAUGACGGCCUUCGGGUUGUAAACUCCUUUCGCUAGGGACGAAGCUUUUUGUGGCGGUACCUAGAUAAGAAGCACCGGCUAACUACGUG
RNAcentral lists this ribosomal RNA (465 nucleotides) under uncultured bacterium. RNAcentral describes it as "partial 16S ribosomal RNA". It matches the Rfam family "Bacterial small subunit ribosomal RNA", at positions 28 to 507 of the family's 1533-position model. The record is from RNAcentral.